RNAcentral lists this ribosomal RNA (664 nucleotides) under Rhizopus arrhizus. RNAcentral describes it as "Rhizopus oryzae partial large subunit ribosomal RNA". It matches the Rfam family "Eukaryotic large subunit ribosomal RNA", at positions 71 to 668 of the family's 3401-position model. Lineage: Eukaryota; Fungi; Mucoromycota; Mucoromycetes; Mucorales; Rhizopodaceae. The record is from RNAcentral.
AAAAUUCCUAGUACGGCGAGUGAGAGGAAGAGCUCAAAGUUGGAACCUGUUUGGCCUAGCUAAACCGGAUUGUAGACUGUAGAAGUGUUUUCCAGGCAAGCCGAGUAAAUAAGUCCUUUGGAACAGGGCAUCAUAGAGGGUGAGAAUCCCGUCUUUGGCUUGAGCAUUUGCCUUUUGUGAUACGCUUUCAAAGAGUCAGGUUGUUUGGGAAUGCAGCCUAAAUUGGGUGGUAAAUCUCACCUAAAGCUAAAUAUUGGCGAGAAACCGAUAGCGAACAAGUACCGUGAGGGAAAGAUGAAAAGAACUUUGAAAAGAGAGUUAAACAGUAUGUGAAAUUGUUAAAAGGGAACCGUUUGGAGCCAGACUGGCUUGUCUGUAAUCAAUCUAGGCUUCGGCCUGGAUGCACUUGCAGGCUAUGCCUGCCAACGACAAUUUGACUUGAGGGAAAAAACUAGGGGAAAUGUGGCCCACUUGUGGGUGUUAUAGUCCCUUAGAAAAUACCUUGGGUUGGAUUGAGGAACGCAGCGAAUGCUUAUUGGCGAGUUUUCCAGGAAGGUUUUCUGAGGUACUACGGUAUCAAGGUUGAUCUUUUUGGUUAUACUUCUAUUCGCUUAGGUUGUUGGCUUAAUGACUCUAAAUGACCCGUCUUGAACCACCGGGACCA